GUAAUUUAUUACAUUAUUUUGCUGACGCUGAUUGCAAUUACAAUAAAAAAGGUUUAAAUGGGGUCCAAUUGGCGGGCGAACCCGCCAAGGAAACAAGUAGUACGCAAAAGACAUGGGUGAAUAUGGCGUCAGAAGGGGCCCCCUAGAGGGCGCCCAAUCUGCCUUCAUAUUUGUGUAAUGAUCCCUCCGCAGGUUCACCUACGGAGA
This 207-nucleotide unclassified non-coding RNA is filed under the name uncultured fungus. Its description in RNAcentral is "sequence contains ITS1". The record is from RNAcentral. Lineage: Eukaryota; Fungi.